This is a long non-coding RNA of Bradysia coprophila, 804 nucleotides long. The record is from RefSeq and is a predicted model, not a curated record. Lineage: Eukaryota; Metazoa; Arthropoda; Insecta; Diptera; Sciaridae.
ACACUUUCUUGUGACUAAUUACCUAAUAUUAAUGAUGAAAAUCACCAAAUAGCAUUGAUUUAACUAGUUUAUCGAAACGUUUUUGCAAUGAAAUGAUGAGCCGUUUUUUCAUACACGAACACACACAAUACAUAAUGAAACAUAAGGAAACACGUUGGAUGUAUCGUGAAUUUGUUUACAAUUUUUACAUCACCUUGGAUGGCUAAUAAUUCAGCGAAUUUUACUUUUUUCGAGUAUCCGUUGAUGUUUAGUGAUAUUUGAGGUUCAAAACUAAUUAAAUAUCGAGUAAAAACCGCAAAAACAAUGAAUCCAAAGUGAAUUAAAUGUGAAAUAAAAUGUGGCCGAUAACUAGUUUUUGUAGAGAAAACAUGUACCCUAUUUUCGGCCACAAACAAAUUACGUGGAUUUAACGGAUUUAUUGGUGAAAAAUGAUCAAAAUCUAUCAUUAAUCAAUGAAAUAAUCCUUAAUUAAUUGAUUUAAACACAUAGCCGCACAGAAAAACUAAAUUUUAUGCGAAAAAUACUUCCUCAAGUAGUGCACUACAAUUCUUUGAUUGCUUAAUAAAAGCGUUUACUUUUGUUCUGUUUGGUGGCAUGAAUACUUUGCAACAGCAAUUAAGAAACUUUAAAAUAAUUAUUGGGACCGAUAACUAUACACAAAUAAUCUUAAUGCGAUACAUUUGCUGGAGAAAAUAAUUUUAAUUAAUUUAUUAAUUGAUUUAAUUGUUUUAUUAAUUCGUAAAGUCUGAAGUGGCCGAUAGCUGGGUGGUGGCCGAAUACUGGUGCCCUCUCAAUCCAACAAAC